Molecule: ribosomal RNA, 699 nt
Filed under: uncultured organism
Description: bacterial SSU rRNA
Rfam family: Bacterial small subunit ribosomal RNA
Source: RNAcentral
GAUUAACGCUGGCGGUAUGCCUAAUACCUGCCAGUCGAGCGCCCAACACUCUGUUUACCAUAAGUUGUAGAUAGAGUGUUGGGAGCGGCAGACGGGUGAGUAUCACGUUGGUAACUGCCUCAUAGUCAGGGAUAAGCCUUAGAAAUAAGGUCUAAUACCGGAUAGUCCCGCAAGGGUAAAGUUUUAUACGCUAUGAGAGGUGCCUGCGUCCUAUCAGCUUGUUGGUGAGGUAAAAGCUUACCAAGGCUAUGACGGGUAGUUGGUCUGAGAGGAUGACCAGCCACAAUGGAACUGAGACACGGUCCAUACUCCUACGGGAGGCAGCAGUAAGGAAUUUUGCGCAAUGGGGGAAACCCUGACGCAUCAAUACCGCGUGAAGGAUGAAGGCCUUUUGGUUGUAAACUUCUUUUCUGAAGGAAUAAAUAUGAAUGUACUUCAGGAAUAAGCACCGGCUAACUCCGUGCCAGCAGCCGCGGUAAGACGGAGGGUGCAAGCGUUAUCCGGAAUUAUUGGGCGUAAAGAGUCCGUAGGCGUUUUGUUAAGUAUGAAAUCAAAGACCGAAGCUCAACUUCGGGCAGGUUUCAUAAACUGGCACAAUAGAGUGAUGCAGAGGCAAAUGGAAUUCUGUGUGUAGGGGUAAUAUCCGUAGAUCAUACACAGGAACACCAAGAGCGGAUGGCAGUUUGCUGGGCAUUCACU